GUGAGGAAUAUUGGUCAAUGGGCGAGAGCCUGAACCAGCCAAGUAGCGUGAAGGAUGACUGCCCUAUGGGUUGUAAACUUCUUUUAUAAAGGAAUAAAGUCGGGUAUGGAUACCCGUUUGCAUGUACUUUAUGAAUAAGGAUCGGCUAACUCCGUGCCAGCAGCCGCGGUAAUACGGAGGAUCCGAGCGUUAUCCGGAUUUAUUGGGUUUAAAGGGAGCGUAGAUGGAUGUUUAAGUCAGUUGUGAAAGUUUGCGGCUCAACCGUAAAAUUGCAGUUGAUACUGGAUAUCUUGAGUGCAGUUGAGGCAGGCGGAAUUCGUGGUGUAGCGGUGAAAUGCUUAGAUAUCACGAAGAACUCCGAUUGCGAAGGCAGCCUGCUAAGCUGCAACUGACAUUGAGGCUCGAAAGUGUGGGUAUCAA
This 420-nucleotide ribosomal RNA is filed under the name uncultured Bacteroides sp. Its description in RNAcentral is "bacterial SSU rRNA". It matches the Rfam family "Bacterial small subunit ribosomal RNA", at positions 354 to 771 of the family's 1533-position model. The record is from RNAcentral. Lineage: Bacteria; Pseudomonadati; Bacteroidota; Bacteroidia; Bacteroidales; Bacteroidaceae.